AAGCGAUUUAUAGCCGGGUCUGAAUGGAUUGGAAUCAGAUGGCAAAACCCAGAUUAACCCCCUGGAUCCUGGUGGCCAUUGGUCAGUCUUUGCUGUUAAUGAUACUUUCACCCGAGUGAAUGCAUUAAAGACGUUCCUUUUAAGAUAAAUAUGCAGCUCGGUCCCUGAUGUCUGCCUGUCGCAAAAACGUGUGAUGGGAGACCAAAUGUCAAUAAAAUCUCCCUGCCCGCCUCAACCCGGUACAUAAUCAGCUCGAAGGUAAAUAAAUGCAAAGGAAUGCAAAGCCAGAGACGUUAGCGUACUCGCCAGAGCCACACCAGUAAUAAGAGGCAGAGCCAGAGUUGCAACCCAGUCAGCUGCGGCGUCUACCUCUCCCCAGCCUCCCAGCCUGGUAAGUGAGUAGCUCUUACUUUUUAUAUCACAGUUCAU
Long non-coding RNA from Sus scrofa (pig), 429 nucleotides. RefSeq lists it as uncharacterized. Lineage: Eukaryota; Metazoa; Chordata; Mammalia; Artiodactyla; Suidae. The record is from RefSeq and is a predicted model, not a curated record.